UGGUCACAUCCCGAUGAAUCAUUAGCUCCCGUACGGUCACCGAAGUUAAGCAACGCCGAAUCUGGUCAGUACCGAGAUGGCUGACCACUUGGGAAUACCAGGUGGU
This is a non-coding RNA of Acanthosepion pharaonis, 106 nucleotides long. The record is from the annotation of a GenBank genome assembly. Lineage: Eukaryota; Metazoa; Mollusca; Cephalopoda; Sepiida; Sepiidae.